This 653-nucleotide ribosomal RNA is filed under the name Lacticaseibacillus rhamnosus. RNAcentral describes it as "bacterial SSU rRNA". It matches the Rfam family "Bacterial small subunit ribosomal RNA", at positions 57 to 675 of the family's 1533-position model. Lineage: Bacteria; Bacillati; Bacillota; Bacilli; Lactobacillales; Lactobacillaceae. The record is from RNAcentral.
GCAGUCGAACGAGUUCUGAUUAUUGAAAGGUGCUUGCAUCUUGAUUUAAUUUUGAACGAGUGGCGGACGGGUGAGUAACACGUGGGUAACCUGCCCUUAAGUGGGGGAUAACAUUUGGAAACAGAUGCUAAUACCGCAUAAAUCCAAGAACCGCAUGGUUCUUGGCUGAAAGAUGGCGUAAGCUAUCGCUUUUGGAUGGACCCGCGGCGUAUUAGCUAGUUGGUGAGGUAACGGCUCACCAAGGCAAUGAUACGUAGCCGAACUGAGAGGUUGAUCGGCCACAUUGGGACUGAGACACGGCCCAAACUCCUACGGGAGGCAGCAGUAGGGAAUCUUCCACAAUGGACGCAAGUCUGAUGGAGCAACGCCGCGUGAGUGAAGAAGGCUUUCGGGUCGUAAAACUCUGUUGUUGGAGAAGAAUGGUCGGCAGAGUAACUGUUGUCGGCGUGACGGUAUCCAACCAGAAAGCCACGGCUAACUACGUGCCAGCAGCCGCGGUAAUACGUAGGUGGCAAGCGUUAUCCGGAUUUAUUGGGCGUAAAGCGAGCGCAGGCGGUUUUUUAAGUCUGAUGUGAAAGCCCUCGGCUUAACCGAGGAAGUGCAUCGGAAACUGGGAAACUUGAGUGCAGAAGAGGACAGUGGAACUCCAUGUG